This 70-nucleotide transfer RNA is filed under the name Marmota monax (woodchuck). Its description in RNAcentral is "tRNA.Ala". It matches the Rfam family "tRNA". Rfam says of the family: Transfer RNA (tRNA) molecules are approximately 80 nucleotides in length. Their secondary structure includes four short double-helical elements and three loops (D, anti-codon, and T loops). Further hydrogen bonds mediate the characteristic L-shaped molecular structure. tRNAs have two regions of fundamental functional importance: the anti-codon, which is responsible for specific mRNA codon recognition, and the 3' end, to which the tRNAs corresponding amino acid is attached (by aminoacyl-tRNA synthetases). tRNAs cope with the degeneracy of the genetic code in two manners: having more than one tRNA (with a specific anti-codon) for a particular amino acid; and 'wobble' base-pairing, i.e. permitting non-standard base-pairing at the 3rd anti-codon position. Lineage: Eukaryota; Metazoa; Chordata; Mammalia; Rodentia; Sciuridae. The record is from RNAcentral.
GUGUGUAGCUCAAAGGUACAGAAUGUGCUUAGCAUGCACAAGGCCCAGGGCUCAAUCCCCUGCACAGGCA